GUAGUUGUAGCCAAGUGGUUAAGGCAAUAGACUAGCAAUCCAUUGGGGCCUCCCUAUGUAGGUUCAAAUCCUGCCAACUACA
Non-coding RNA from Gopherus evgoodei (Goodes thornscrub tortoise), 82 nucleotides. NCBI's taxonomy places the organism in Eukaryota, Metazoa, Chordata, Testudines, Testudinidae. The record is from the annotation of a RefSeq genome assembly.